This 467-nucleotide ribosomal RNA is filed under the name uncultured bacterium. RNAcentral's name for it is "partial 16S ribosomal RNA". It matches the Rfam family "Bacterial small subunit ribosomal RNA", at positions 28 to 507 of the family's 1533-position model. The record is from RNAcentral.
GACGAACGCUGGCGGCGUGCUUAACACAUGCAAGUCGAACGGAAAGGCCCUGCUUGCAGGGUGCUCGAGUGGCGAACGGGUGAGUAACACGUGGGUGAUCUGCCCCUUACUUUGGGAUAAGCCUGGGAAACUGGGUCUAAUACUGGAUAGGACCAUGCUGUAGGUGGUGUGGUGGAAAGAUUAGUUUCGGUAAGGGAUGAGCUCGCGGCCUAUCAGCUUGUUGGUGGGGUAAUGGCCUACCAAGGCGUCGACGGGUAGCCGGCCUGAGAGGGUGGACGGCCACAUUGGGACUACGUUACGGCCCAGACGCCAACGGGAGGCAGCAGAGGGAAAUAUUGCACAAUGGGCCCAAGCCUGAUACGGCGACGCCGCGUGGGGAAUAACGGCCUUCGGGUUGUAAACUCCUUUCAGCCGUGACGAGGCCUUCGGGUAGCGGUAGUGGUAGAAGAAGCACCGGCUACUACGUG